Molecule: ribosomal RNA, 253 nt
Filed under: uncultured bacterium
Lineage: Bacteria
Description: partial 16S ribosomal RNA
Rfam family: Bacterial small subunit ribosomal RNA
Source: RNAcentral
UACGUAGGGGGCAAGCGUUGUCCGGAUUUAUUGGGCGUAAAGAGCGUGUAGGCGGUUAUGCAGGUCCGCUGUGAAAACUGGAGGCUUAACCUCCAGACGUCGGUGGAAACCGUAUGACUAGAGUCCGGAAGAGGAGAGUGGAAUUCCUGGUGUAGCGGUGAAAUGCGCAGAUAUCAGGAAGAACACCCGUGGCGAAGGCGGCACUCUGGGCCAGUACUGACACUGAGGAGCGAAAGCGUGGGGAGCGAACAGG